RNAcentral lists this ribosomal RNA (253 nucleotides) under uncultured bacterium. Its description in RNAcentral is "partial 16S ribosomal RNA". It matches the Rfam family "Bacterial small subunit ribosomal RNA", at positions 524 to 776 of the family's 1533-position model. The record is from RNAcentral.
UACGGGGGGGGCAAGCGUUGUUCGGAAUUACUGGGCGUAAAGGGCUCGUAGGCGGCCAACUAAGUCAGACGUGAAAUCCCUCGGCUUAACCGGGGAACUGCGUCUGAUACUGGAUGGCUUGAAUCCGGGAGAGGGAUGCGGAAUUCCAGGUGUAGCGGUGAAAUGCGUAGAGAUGUGGAGGAAUACCGAUGGCGAAGGCAGCCCCCUGGGCCAAUACUGACGCUCAUGCACGAAAGCGUGGGGAGCAAACAGG